This 253-nucleotide ribosomal RNA is filed under the name uncultured bacterium. Its description in RNAcentral is "partial 16S ribosomal RNA". It matches the Rfam family "Bacterial small subunit ribosomal RNA", at positions 524 to 776 of the family's 1533-position model. The record is from RNAcentral.
UACGUAGGGUGCGAGCGUUGUCCGGAAUUAUUGGGCGUAAAGAGCUCGUAGGCGGUCUGUCGCGUCGAUCGUGAAAACUUGGGGCUUAACCCUGAGCUUGCGGUCGAUACGGGCAGACUUGAGUUCGGUAGGGGAGACUGGAAUUCCUGGUGUAGCGGUGAAAUGCGUAGAGAUCAGGCGGAACACCCGUGGCGAAGGCGGCCAGCUGGGCCGUCCCUGACGCUGAGGCGCGAAGGCGUGGGGAGCGAACGGG